RNAcentral lists this ribosomal RNA (496 nucleotides) under uncultured bacterium. Its description in RNAcentral is "partial 16S ribosomal RNA". It matches the Rfam family "Bacterial small subunit ribosomal RNA", at positions 30 to 523 of the family's 1533-position model. The record is from RNAcentral.
AUUGAACGCUGGCGGAAUGCUUUACACAUGCAAGUCGAACGGUAGAGGGGGCAACCCCUCGAGAGUGGCGAACGGGUGAGUAAUAUAUCGGAACGUGCCCAGUCGUGGGGGAUAACGUAGCGAAAGUUACGCUAAUACCGCAUACGAUCUAAGGAUGAAAGCGGGGGAUCGCAAGACCUCGCGCGAUUGGAGCGGCCGAUAUCAGAUUAGGUAGUUGGUGGGGUAAAGGCUCACCAAGCCAACGAUCUGUAGCUGGUCUGAGAGGACGACCAGCCACACUGGAACUGAGACACGGUCCAGACUCGUACGGGAGGCAGCAGUGGGGAAUUUUGGACAAUGGACGCAAGUCUGAUCCAGCCAUUCCGCGUGCAGGAUGAAGGCCCUCGGGUUGUAAACUGCUUUUGUACGGAACGAAAAGGUCUCUCUUAAUACGGGGGGCUCAUGACGGUACCGUAAGAAUAAGCACCGGCUAACUACGUGCCAGCAGCCGCCGCCG